AGCCAUUGAUACAAAACCAGAACUUUUCUGACACCUCGUAUGAAGGCUGGUAACAGCCCCUGACACCUCGUAUGAAGGCUGGUAACAGCCCCUGAUUUGAACUGUGCUGAGGCUC
Coregonus clupeaformis (lake whitefish) is the source of this 115-nucleotide small nucleolar RNA. RefSeq annotates it as small nucleolar RNA SNORD60. The record is from RefSeq and is a predicted model, not a curated record. Lineage: Eukaryota; Metazoa; Chordata; Actinopteri; Salmoniformes; Salmonidae. The transcript has a single exon.